This 11721-nucleotide long non-coding RNA is filed under the name Zostera marina. RNAcentral describes it as "long non-coding RNA (ZMAR_LNC000510)". The record is from RNAcentral. Lineage: Eukaryota; Viridiplantae; Streptophyta; Magnoliopsida; Alismatales; Zosteraceae.
CAUGAUUUGUCAAGCCCGUCUAUUUGAUCAACCAUUUUAGUUUAUCUCCUAACAUACAAAAAAAGAUACCUCUUAAAAAUCAAUAUUUAAAUGAAAAAGGUAUUAAAAUAAGUAUUCAAAAAACUUAUACAAAAAUAACUAACUCUAACUAAACGUUUUUAAAUAAUAUAAAAUCUAACAUAAUAUAACAGAGAGUUCUAAAUAAACAUUUAUUUAAAAUAUUUAUUAACAUCAAAUCAUGAAAACAAGGUUGAUCUAAGAAUCUAUGAUAAAAACAACAAAUCAAACCAUCAAAAAAAUCAAUCAUGACAAUAAAUAAAUAAAACCCUAAUAAAAUACAGAACGAUAAAAUAUAGAACGGAACCAUGAUCGAAGGAAUGAAAAAAACAAAUACCUCUAAGAUGUUUAUCCCUCCAAGCUGUCUAUCCGUUCCGUAUACCUAGAGAUCUGUAAUGUCUUUGGCCUGGUCAUGUAAGACAGUACAUCAAAGUUAUGUUGAUAUCCAAAAUGUUAGUAAAAAAUCAAGCAUUCAUAAAAAAUCAAGACUGUAACAUGAUCGAAAGAUGAUAAAUGGUGAGUAUAUUAAUAAAUUGCAUCAGUAUUCAGUUUUUAUAAGAUGAAGAUUCAUCAAAAACAUAGUUAUUCUGUAUUCUGUUGUUUCAUAAAAAAUUAGUAUUUGCAAGGUUGUUAUUUGUUUAGAUGUCAUUGCAAAUGAUCUUUUUAUUGCAGAUUUUCAUGGAAAUAGAAGCAUUGGAGGAAAAAAACCAAAGUAUAUUGUCGAUGAAGGACCUUCCCUAACUAAGUUGUCGGGCUAUAACCCUAAAAGGCAGGAGUUUGAUCCUGAAUAUUAUAAUGAUGCAGAACAAUUGCUUGCAGAUAUGGAAUUAAAGGAAACUGAUUGUGAAAUUGAAAGGAAUGUUAAAUUGGAGUACUGCAGAUUUAUGCAUCUAGGUAAAUUGACGUGAUCAUUUUUUUACUAGCAUAUCAGAACCUCUGUAUAUUUUAUUACUUUUAUCAUCUAGAUUUUUAUUUUGUAAUUUUUAUGUCUAUGAUUUGGUUAUUUCUGUAUUCAAAUGAGAUGUGUUUUAUCAUUGAAAUACAAAAAUAAUGUACUGAUGUGAUGAUAAUUUUGCAGGCUUGAUGAAAGGAAGCUGUUGGUGUGUGUGCUCGCCGGUGUAAGCCCACAACCUCAACUCUCCCAAGUGUUCACUCUCUCAGAAUUGUCAACCCCUCCCCCAGUUGGAACAGGGGAGGUAUUUAUAGCCUUCACUUGUUGUCAUUGGGCCUCGUGGGUUCGUACGGUGAUCGGCCCCGUCCGUUCGUCCGCCCGCCCAUCCGUCCGUCUGGGCCGGCUGGUCCGGUUCGGUCCAUGGGCCGCGGUCCGCGGUCCAUGGUACCAACAGUACUCCCCCCUUCCUUAGCAGGCCCGGGGGCCGUCCACCCCCCUUUCGACCCCCACCUACUCUCAUUAAAGCUCCUCGGUUCUCGGGCCCCUCCUUCUUUGCUUCUCUAUAAAUAGGCUGCUUGAGAGCCUUAUUUUCCGCAUCCCCUCUCUUUUCCGCUAUGAGUGCUCGAGACAUCCUUGAGGAGUAUGGUCGUGAAGUGCAAGCUCAACAUGCUACCUGGGCCCUGUGCCUGCUGUCGCCUACUGGUGUCCCCAACAGUGUCGCCGUGGCCGAGACUCAGCGCCUUAACGCCGUGCUGAUCGACGUCCACCGUCGCCUCAACCGGAUUCGCUGCAACGACAUUGUCGCGGAGCUUCCCCUCGUCACCUAUCCUGACACGUCGGGUUCUGCUGGAACUUCGCGUGCUUCCCGCGCGCAAGGUACGACCGUCGCUCCCGCUGCUGUCGCUGAUCCAACGCCCCUUCCGAGGCGCCGCCGGCCGCGAGGUCCUCGUCGUUCCCGCGGGUCUUCGUCCCUUCCGGCCUAUGACCUGCGCCACUUUCUGUCGGGAUCCUCGAAGCCAGCCCCUUAAGUUCGUCCGGGGGACGUCCGCGACCGCGACCACGCUCAUCCGGGCCGUGGGUCCGCCUCCAUGGGACGACGUCUGGGGCGCGCCUCGUUCAACUUCUCUCCUAUUUCUUUUUUGUAUCCAGACUUAGCUAUUGUUGUGCGUUGUAUACUUUUUCCCGCCGUGCCACCGGCCGCUUGUAACACUUGGUUUAAUUUAAUGAAAAAUGCCUUUGCUUCUUUUUUUCUUUCGCUUUAAUUGUCUUCGCACGUCCGUGCAGAUUCGCGCAUCUCGGCGUCUUCUGUCGACGUUGCCCGCAUCCUUCUCGAGCUCUGCUCCCGNNNNNNNNNNNNNNNNNNNNNNNNNNNNNNNNNNNNNNNNNNNNNNNNNNNNNNNNNNNNNNNNNNNNNNNNNNNNNNNNNNNNNNNNNNNNNNNNNNNNNNNNNNNNNNGCAUCGUUCGGUCGCUGGACCCCGCCGAGCUUACCACGGCCGCCGCGCCCCCGCUCCGCCGACCGCGUCGGUCCCUGAUCUUCACCCUUGCCCCCGACGGGCCGGUUCUUGGGCUCCCUCGGGAGCCUCCCGGCCCAUCCGAUUCUGACCAAUCCGGGUACGCGACGCUUCGUCUUCCGUGCCCUCCUUAACCCCUAUAUAAAUCCCCAUUCGCUUCUCGCGACUGACUUCCUUCCCUCUCUUUUAUUCUCUCCCACCUUCUCUCCCAGGUUGCUGAUGGCCUCCGCUUCCUCCUCCGGCCGCGACGGCGCACGAACUCCGGCGAGCAAAAUGAUUUCGACGCUCUUCGUCGCUCCCUCCCCCAAGGACCCUCAAUCCACCGUCGGGGUCGAUGUGAUCCGGGAGGCGCUGGCGAAGAUGGGCCAGCCCGACCUGGCCUUCACUGUUGCUGGCGAGCGUCUUGCCUCCGAUCCGCCGCCGGGCCUGGUCGCCCUUUACACGCCCUUUGCCGAUGCCGGUCUCGUUCUUCCGCUUCCGUCUUUGGUGGCCGAAGCGAUGUCUUACUGCGGCGUGACCAUUUCUCAGUUUCCUCCGGCGGCCAUCGACCGCUUGGUGAUCUUCGACCUUCUCUCGCGUCGCGCCGGCUGCCAGGUCUCUCUACCGGUCUUCCUGACGUGGUUCACGAUGACCUCAAUGACCACCGAUCCUCGUCGUGUGUUAGUCGCUCAGCGAUCCACCGGCGCCCUCUUCGACGGGCUGGUCGACCGGUCUCAUCACUGGCGGGACCGCUUCUUCUUCGUCCCCGUCAGUGCCCUUGGAACGUCGGACUCGGGCGUAUGUUUCCCCACGCGCUGGACUAUGCUGUCGUCCCUGAGGCGGGCCGCCGCUCCUUCCCGAGACAGCUUGGAUCCCGUGGCCGCCCUUGCUCAAGACGUUCUCGUCGAGGUUUAUCGCCACGGGCCCGUCAACGCCCGGACGCUGGCCACCUGGUCCUACGAGGACCAUCUGAAUUUGCCCGUGAAGGCGCCUUACUUUCGGGACGGCCCGCCGUCUAAACGUAACAAGAAGAGGCAAGCCGACGAAGUUCACUUCGAGACUCCCCUUAACGCGUCUCCCAUCCAUACUCUCGAGGUCGGCGCUCCGGACUCCCAUCGUGCUGCUUCCUCUGCUCCUGGUGCCCCGGAUGCCCCCCUUCGAGACAGCCGGUCCGACCGACGGCAAAGGAAAAAAACUCGGGCUGAGAAACGAAAGUCGGUCGCCGCCUCCUUGGUGAAGGAUUCGGUCCAAGUUGAGGACUUGGACGCUUCUGAGAACAGCCUUAGUGCCAGCCACUCUAACAUUCCGUCCGACGGGGCCUUCGACCGCUUCUUUGCGUCCUCGUCCGAAGGCGGGCAUUUUGAAGACGGGCACCUCAAGGCUGUCAUGAAGGAUCUUCAGAAGACGCUCGACGGCUGUACCGCCCCCAUCGAUCCCGUGACCCUUCUGCCGCGCCUUGGCGGGAUCUUUAAGCAAAAGCUCGCGGAUGCUCGUUCUCUGAUGACGCCCGAAGCUGAGUAUGCCCAACUGCGCGCCCGUCCCCUUUCGGCCGUCAACCUCGAUCUGCACCAUCUUCUGCUGCAGCUUUCUGUCCUCUCCCAGGUUCGGCUGGAAAGGGGCGCCGAACUGGACGGGGAGCUUCAGCGCCAAAAGACCGACCUUGCCGUCGCAGAAGCCGACCUUGCCGCUGCGAGGGUCACCAUUGAAGCCACAAAGACCGAGUUGGACGCCGUCAAGCGCGAGCGCGACCUUCUAGCUGACGACUUGUGCCGUGCUAAGGAGGAAGAGAAGGUUCGGGCAGACGCCGCGCAGGCCGCUUUUAUCGAGGAAUUUGUUCCUGAAUUCAAGAGUCGCUUGGCCGAUAUGCAAAAGGAUCACGCCGUCUUGCUAGGCGAUUCCAAGCGCCUCGGCUUCUGGAAGGGUUACGUGCACGGGCGCGAGAUGGGCUCGCUUGUUUACUCGCCCCUUUCGCGCGCCGUGGUGCCUCGGAGCNNNNNNNNNNNNNNNNNNNNNNNNNNNNNNNNNNNNNNNNNNNNNNNNNNNNNNNNNNNNNNNNNNNNNNNNNNNNNNNNNNNNNNNNNNNNNNNNNNNNCGUGGACGUGAGCGACAGCGAGGAGCAGGACCUUGAGGCUGACUUCCCCGACUACGUGGACCCUCCCCUUGACUAGUCGGCCCGUAGCGGAUGUUUUUUUUUCUUUUUUCGUACGGGAAGAACAAUUAUCCCUGCAUUGUAAUAAUACUUAACUUUUUUCCUGCUUUUUUACUUGCUUGUUUUCUCUCGCUUUUGGCUCGGCCGUCGAUCCGCUUGCCUUGGCUCGGCCGUCGAUCGUUUUCCUCUUCCUUUCGCUUUCGUUUCCCUACUUAACUUUCGCUUUCGCCCUCUCUCUUCCUUCAAUCGUUUUUUUCUUAGAGAAGCGGCCUGGGCCCUUCGGACGUUCCCGUGUGGCCUUUCGGCCCCGGGGACCUUCCGUUGGCCUUUUCGGCGGGCUUCUCCAGUUUUCGUUUGCUCGGGGAAGCGGCCCGGGCCGUGCGGAUUGUCUCGCGUGGUCGUCCGACCUUGAGACUUCUCCGCCAACCUUUUCGGCGGGCUUCUCCAGCUUUUGCUUACUUGGGGGAGCGGCCUGGGCCGUGCGGAUUGUCUCAUGUGGUCGUCCGACCUCAAGACUUCUCCGCCGGCCUUUUCGGCGGGCUGCCCCUUUUCCUUUACAAUAAUAUUUUUAAUGGGUGCACUCCGGGUGCUUUUUAUUGGGCAUCAUGUGCCGUGGUCAGGGGACGCCCGACGUAGAAAUCAGAUACAAUAGUGAUAGUAUUGCUCCGCGUACGCCUCGCCUCACCGCCUAUACUUUUCCAAGUUGUCGGCAUGCCACGUUCUCUCUAUCUCCUGCCCGUCCUCGUACCCCAGGCGAAAGAUGCCGGGCUGGAUUUCGUCCGUGAUGACGUACGGGCCCUCCCAUCUUGGUGAUAAUUUCCCCUUCGUCUGAUCGACUCCCGUUACCUUGGCAUUUCUCAACACCAAGUCUCCUGGCGCUAAGUUUUUGUCGGCCACUCUUUCGUUGUGGUACCUUGCCACCCUUCGCUUGUAAGUGAGAUCCCUGAUGGACGCCUCCUCUCUCCGGCCCUCCAAGUACUCCCUUUCUAAGAACAUGGCCUGGUCGUUCGUGCCCGGUUGGAACUGCUCGAUACGCACGGUUGGCCACACCAACUCUGCUGGCGCCACCGCCUCCAUCCCGAAUGCGAGGGCGAAAGGUGUUUGACCCGUGGGCGUUCGGAUGGUCGUGCGGUACGCCCACAUGGUUUCCGGGACUAGGUCCGCCCAGUUUCCCGGGUGUUCGCCCACCUUCCUUUUCAGGAUCGACGUUAUUGUUCGGUUCGUCACCUCUACCUGCCCGUUAGCCUGCGGGUGGUAGACUGGUGCGAAGCUUAGCUUGAUCCCGCUGUCUUCGCAGAAUUCUCUCAACUUCUUUCCCGUGAACUGUGUCCCGUUGUCCGUUAUUAUCUGGAUCGGGACCCCAAAACGGCAGACGAUGUUCCUGAAGACAAAGUUCAGCACAUUCUGUUCGCUGAUCGUGUUCGUAGCCUCCGCUUCGACCCACUUUGUGAAGUAGUCGACCGCUACGAACAGGAACUUCCUCCCUCUUGACGCCGGCGGGAACGGUCCUACUAUGUCAAUUCCCCACCUUGUGAAUGGCACCGGUGUCGUUACGGCCUUCAUCAUGGUGGACGGCCGUCUCUGGACAUUCGAAUGCCUCUGGCAAACGUCGCAUCGACCAACAAUUUCCUCUGAGUCUUUUAUUGACUCGGGCCAGUAAUACCCUUGCCUGGCUACUUGCCUCUCCAGCGCUCUGCCGCCCUGGUGCGCUCCGCUUGCCCCCUCGUGCAGGCUUCGUGCGAUGGCCCUCCCCUCCUCACGUGGGACGCAUAGUCGCAGGGGGACCUCCUCUGCUGCCGACCGUCGGUAUAGCUUAUCCUGAGCCACUACAAACCAGGCCGCCCUGUUCCUUAGCUUCCUGGCCUCCAUUGGGUCUGAUGGCGCUUCGCCUGUCAAGAUGAACCUUGUGAUCGGCGUUCUCCAGUCCCCCGAAGUUAUUACUCCGCACGCUCUGGCUGGCCCGCGGUCGGCGGUCGGCGUCGGACGUUCUUGGUUUUCGAUCCGGAUCCACCUUCCCUCCUUUUUUCCCGGGGACGCCCCUAGUUUGGCCAAUGUGUCGGCCUCCCCAUUGUGUUCUCUCCCUAUUUGAGAGAUCCUCCAUUCUUUGAGCUUGCCCAAGGCCGUUCUUGUCUCGGUCACAUAGCUUGCCAUAGAGUCUUCCUUGGAUACAAAGUCCCCCCUGACUUGGUUGGCUACGAGCCGGGAGUCCGUGUGGAAGUGUACCUUGGACGCGCCUAGUGCGCGAGUUAGCCGGAUCCCCGAAAGGAGGGCUUCGUAUUCCGCUGCAUUGUUAGUCGCCCGGAAUUCGAAGUGGAUCGAGUACUCGAUUUUUUCCCCUGUCGGGGACGUGACCACGACCCCCGCGCCGCAUCCGCUAUUGCUGGACGACCCGUCCACGUGGGCCGUCCACCACUGCUCGUCUGCCUCCACCACUCCUCUCGGGGCUAACUCGGCCAUGAAGUCUGCCACCGCCUGCCCCUUGAUUGCCCUUGCUGGCACGAUGACUAGGUGAAACUCGCUGAGUUCCAUGGCCCACUUGGUUAGUCUUCCUGAGACGUCCGGCUUCUGCAGGAGCUGCAGUAGUGGGUAAGCCGUUGGGAUCGUGACCGUGUGGGCGUGAAAGUACGGUUUCAGCCUUCGGACCGCCGAGACUACCGCCAGGGCUAGCUUCUCGAUUUCCGGGUAUCUCUCUUCCGCCCCUAUCAACGAACGGGAAUGGUAGUACACUGGCCUCUGUGUGCCUCCCGCUUCCGAGAUGAGGACCGCGCUGACGGCCGCCUCCGAGCACGCUACGUACAUGGUGAGUGGCUCUCCUCUUGUUGGUGGUCGGAGCGUUGGCAGGCUCGAAAGCUGGCGCUUGAGUUCCUUGAACGCCCUCUCGCACUCGUCUGACCAUACCACCCUGGGUCCCGGGUUCCUUAACAGCUGGAAGAAAGGCUUCAAACGAUCUGCCGUCCUUGGCAGAAAUCUGCUCAGGGCCGCCACCCUCCCGUUUAGCUUCUGGACCUCCUUCAGCGUCCGCGGGGGGUUCAUGGCCGUUACGGCCUCCACCUUCUCUUCCCUUGGCUUGAUUCCUUCGGGCGUGAUUCGGAAACCGAGGAAAUGCCCCUCCUUGACUCCGAACGCGCACUUUUUCGCUUUUAGCUUGAGUCCCGCGCUACGGAUGUUGGCGAAGGUUUCUUCUAGGUCGGCCACAUGCGUUUCGGCCUCCUUUGAUCGGACAAGUAUAUCGUCCACGUACACUUCUACGUUCCUUCCUAUCUGCGCCUUGAAUAUUUUAUCCAUUAGCCUCUGGAACGUCGCCUCGGCGUUGCGCAGGCCGAACGGCAUUACCCUGAAGCAAAACGUGCCCAUUUCUGUGAUGAACGACGUCUUCUCCUCGUCCUCUCGUGCCAUGGACACCUGAUUGUAUCCCGAGUGCGCGUCCAUGAAACUCAGCAUCCCGCACCCGGAACUCUGGUCUACCAACCGGUCCACCGACGGCAGUGGGUAGCUGUCCUUGGGGCAAGUUUUGUUCAAGUUGGUAAAGUCGACGCACAUCCUCCACCCCGAAUCUGCCUUUCUUACCAUCACCACGUUGGACAACCAGGCGGGGUAGCGUACCGGACGAAUGAAUCCCGCUUGGAGGAGCUUCCUGACCUCCGUCUCGGCCGCCUCCCUCUUUUCCGCCCUUAGCGGGCGUAAUUUCUGCCUGACGGGGUGGGCGUCCGGGGCUACUGCUAGUCUGUGCUCCGCCAGCGCCCUUGGCACGCCGUCCAACUCCCCCAACUCGCCGGCGAACAGGUCUUCGUUCUUCCUCAGGAGUUGUUCUAGACCUUCCCUGAUGUUCUGUGGGAGGUCCUUUCCCAUUCGCACUUCGCCCCGCCCGAGGGGCGCUUGAAUCGUGUGAGACGCCGGUUCGGGUCUUGCUGUGCGUUCCCGCAUCGAGUGGGGUAGGCCCUCGUUCGACGUCAUUACUUCACCGACCGAAUUGAAGUAGCACUCGCGCGCCUUUUUCUGGGAGCCUCGGACUGUGCACACUCCUGCCUCGGUUGGGAACUUGAGGCACUGGUGGAGUGAUGACAUUACCGCCUGGAAGGCGUGCAACGCUGUCCUUCCCAAGAUGGCGUUGUAUCCUGAUGUGAAGUUGACGACCGUAAACACGACCUCGACUGUCUUGGCCUGGGCGUGCCGUCCCAGGGUGACUGGGAGGGUGAAUGUUCCCGCCACCGGGACCUCCGACUGACCGAAUCCCCUGAUGGGGGCCCGGCACGGGAGUAGGUCUGCUCGGGCCAAACCGAGGUCGACGAAGGCGUUCCAGUACAAUAUGUCCACCGACGCUCCCAUGUCGACCAGCACCCUGUGUAAUCGCACGCUGGACUUGUCUCCCCUUUGGAAGAUGGGGGUUAUGACCAGGGGGUCGUCGUGGGGCGUGGUAAUGUCCUUCAUGUCGUCCUCCGUGAACGAGAUGUCCAGGUUUAUUCGCGGACGCUUGGCCCCUGCUGCCCGAUCCACGUCAGACGCGUACCGCCGGCCCUCCCACGGGUCGUCGCCUCUCGAGGCGCCGCCGCCCGCGAUGGUGAGGAUGUCCCCUAUAGUCUCGUCCGCUGGUUCCUGCUUCGGCGCCUGGUGUCCCGUGGGGAUCGUCGCCGGGCGGUUUGCCGUCGGGGCCUGGGGGGCUCCGUUCGCGGGCUUCAUUUUGCUGAGGACCUUCGCGAGGUUCAAGCAUUCGGCCGUUGUGUGGCCAUUGUCCUCAUGGUGUUCGCAAAACCGACGGGUGUCCCUGAACGCCGCCGUGUCUUUCCUCAUUGGCCUCGGCAGGGGUAGGGUUCCUGUUCCGUAUAACGUUAGGAAAACCUGUCUCUGGUUUGCCGCCGGGGCGGGGCCUGCCUCCUUCCGUCCCGCUGCCGCCGGGGUGCCGGUUCUGUACACUGGCGCCUGCGGCGCCGCUGGGGGCUUGGCCUGCGUUUGUUGGGGUUGGCUCUGCUGCUGCCCACCCCCAGCGCCCACGUGGGCGCCCUUCCCCCUUUGCUGCCGCCUGCAUUCCUGGAUCUUCGCGCCCAGGUAAUCCUCCACGUUGCUCUCCCCAUGGGACCUUUCCAUGGCCUCGGCGAAGGUUUUUGGUGGCUUUCUCACUAAGUCCCCCGCGAAGAACGUGGGCCGGAGGCUGUUCGUUAGGGCGUACAGUACCACCUCCUCCGAGAUCCCCUCAAUCUUCUGCACCUCGCUCGCAAACCGGUCCAUGUACGUGCGCGUGCUCUCUGAUUCUCCCUGUACGACCGUGCUGAGGGCGGCCUUGAUUUUCGGCCUCCUCCGACGGUGUGCGAACGCCGCUCGGAAUACCUCCACUAAGCCUUCGUAGGUGUGCACGGACCCUGUUGGCAACGUCCUGUACCACGCAAUUGCGUCGCCCGUAAGGGCCCUUCGGAACAUUCGACACCAGAUGUCCCUCCUAUUCGUCCUGUCCUCCAUGUUGGUCUUGAAAGAGUGCAGGUGGUCCUCCGGGUCAGUAUCGCCCUUGUAGUAGGGGAUCUUCGGGGCUCUCCAGCCCGGUGGGUAUUCUUCGUCCAGUAGGUGCUGUGCCAGGGCCUCCCCACUGCCACCCCCCGACGUCGUCGCCACAAUUGUUCGCGGGGCCUCCGCGGGUGGGGCGUCGCUGCCGAGUCUACACUCCGGGGGGGCGGGCGGCCCGUACAUGGGAUCCCCUCCCCCGCCCCCGUCCGACUCCAGGGUAUGCGGGGUCACUGUGAGCUGAUGGACUUGCUCUUGCAGUUGACGCUGGCUCUCCUGCAGGUUGGAUAUUAGCUCCACGAGCUGCAUCCUCUCUCGUUUGCUCUCUUUCUCCGCGCGAUCCCUCUCCUCCGCGCGCUCUCUUCGUCGGAGCUUCUCGCGCUCCUUCUCCCUUCUCUCCCGGGAUCGCGACCGAGACCGCGUUCUCCUGGCCCUCGGUGGAGAUGCCGCCCCUUUGUGUCGGCGCCUCUCGGGUGACUCCCAACCGUACCUGAUCUCCUCAAUCUCCAUACGCAGUCUAUCCUCGUCGUCCCAUCCCUCGUUGGCUCUUACUUCCUCCGAGUACCGGUCCCGGGAGUGACGUCGCUCCGGCCGAUACUCCUCCGGCUCCCGCUCGGGUCGCUUAGAGCUCUCCCCCACCUGGUAACCGCUCUUCGUCAUCCUUUUCUCUCCGGCUGCCAUGUACUUCGUUCACGUCAGGUUCACCACUGUUGGUGUGUGUGCUCGCCGGUGUAAGCCCACAUCCUCAUCUCUCAAGUGUUCAGCUCUCUCAGAAUUGUCAACCCCCUCCCCAGUUGGACCAGGGGAGGUAUUUAUAGCCUUCACUUGUUGUCAUUGGGCCUCGUGGGUUCGUACGGUCGGGCCCGUCCGUCCGUCCGUUCGUCCGCCCGCCCAUCCGUCCGUCUGGGCCGACUGGUCCGGUUCGGUCCAUGGGCCGCGGUCCGCGGUCCAUGGUACCAACAGUUUCCUCAAAAAACCAAAUUGCUGAUUUAUUUACAUAAUCACUCUCUCUGGACAAAUUUCGAGUUCUUAGAAACAAGCUUCCACUUUGUACGAUGAAAGCAUCAUCUUAUGGGGGAAUGCUUUAUUUAUUGAUAUGUAACCAUAGUAGUGAGUCACUACUAUGGAAUAUCCACCAUGAGAUCGAGUACAAAUCUCGAAGCUUUACUGUUUCUGCUCACUCCUACCAGAACAAGGUUAGUUCAAAUCACCCCUUUUUUUGUUUAUUUAAAUUUUUUCCUUUCAAUUUUUGUUAAACCUUAGAUCCUUUAGCCGAAGCUUUCUUUCAAACCAUUAACAAUGAUUUUUGUUUGUCUUUCACAGAUCGUCGGAAUCAUCAAGUUCGUCGAAAUAAUGAAACAAACAAAUACCUGGUCCGUAGGGAGAAGUGAAGAAGAUAUUUCCAGCAAGGCAGCAACGUAGGGAGAAGUGGAGAAGAGAUUUCCAGCAAGUAGCAACGUAGGGAGAAGUGGAGAAGAGAUUUCCAGCAAGGCAGCAACAACAGUGAAGAAUGUAAGAAGAGAUUCCCGAAGUCCGAGGCCGGAGAAGAUGGAUUUGGGGGAGAACAGGGGAGAAGGGGUUUACGUUUUUGGGGGGAUAGGAGGAUUUAGGGAAAUAGGAGGGAAUACAAAAUUUAUUUGGG